UAGGGAAUAUUGCACAAUGGAGGAAACUCUGAUGCAGCGACGCCGCGUGAGUGAUGAAGGCCUUCGGGUCGUAAAGCUCUGUCGCAGGGGAAUAACACAAUGAAGGUACCCUGUAAGAAAGGAUCGGCUAACUUCGUGCCAGCAGCCGCGGUAAGACGAGGGAUCCUAGCGUUGUUCGGAAUUAUUGGGCGUAAAGCGGGUGUAGGUGGCUAUGUAAGUCAGACGUGAAAGCCCAGGGCUCAACCCUGGAAGUGCGUUUGAAACUGUGUAGCUUGAGUGCUAGAGAGGUUACUAGAAUUCUUGGUGUAGUGGUGAAAUACGUAGAUAUCAAGAGGAAUACCGGAGGCGAAGGCGGGUAACUGGCUAAGCACUGACACUCAGACCCGAAAGUGCGGGGAUCAAACA
Molecule: ribosomal RNA, 405 nt
Filed under: uncultured prokaryote
Description: bacterial SSU rRNA
Rfam family: Bacterial small subunit ribosomal RNA
Source: RNAcentral